This is a long non-coding RNA of Papaver somniferum (opium poppy), 2998 nucleotides long. RefSeq lists it as uncharacterized. The transcript has 5 exons. Lineage: Eukaryota; Viridiplantae; Streptophyta; Magnoliopsida; Ranunculales; Papaveraceae. The record is from RefSeq and is a predicted model, not a curated record.
UUGGGUUCCUUAUCUUCUUGGUCUCCCUCUUCUAUCACUUCUCUCUCAUCAGAAAUCUCGCAGCAUCUGAGUUUUUACUCGAAAUGAAAAUGCAAAUCCAAACCAAAACCUAAAUGUUAUUCUUUGCCUCAAUCUUGGUCUCUCAUCUUCUCUGUUUUUUCUUAUACUCAAAUUCAUCGUUGAAACCCUAACUAACUCGAAAUCAUGUUUUCCUCUAUGAAAAUCUGCAUCUGUGUACAUCGACGGAAGAUUUGAAUCCACCAACUCCAGAUGCAAUCUGAAAAUAUUGCUGGGGUAUUUAUCUGGAAAGAGAAUCCUAGAAACAUCCAGUUUGGCUUGUGGUUGGAUGAACAACUUCAUGAGAAACAACUUCUAAGCACAUCUGCUGGCUUAGGACAGAUUCUGACACAGAUCUUUUAUCAUAAAGUCAUUGGAGUUACGAACUUCUUUUUGUACUUAGAAGGAAAUAUUGAACUUAACUUCCAACAGUUUCUGCCAUCCUGGAGUUUAUUUAUCGCUCAUGACUGAAGAGUUUUGGAGGUAAAUUUAUCCAAAGUUAAGGAAAGAAGCCGUAGUUUAGUCUUGGAGUUGUUAAACUAAAGAUUGGGUUGGUAUCUUUGAAGAAACUAAGAUUCCCCGCCAAAGCAAUGAAUUUAUUCUUGAACUUCUCCGCGGUGUCCAUUUUGAUUUUGAAAGGUUCAUUAGUGACCUUAAGCUCACCGUUUUGGGUAAGGCUCGGCUUGGGUUGGCUAUGGAAUAGGAUCUCAAAAAGCCAUUCAGAUUCGUUAAUAGUUACAUCAGAGCUAUGGUGAAGUUCAGCGUCAAUCGGGUUGAUAUCAUGGUUAUUCAAGUUAUCUCCAUCCUUGAUAUUCUUGUUAAAGAUGUCAACUCCAUGAGAAUCAGGUGUGUUGUUGAAGCAUGCUCAUGCAUGAUGUAUAUAUUUCUAUCUCUGAAUUUCGUAUCAUGUGUCCAGUUAAUCUAGUGACACUGUGCGGCUAAAAUGUGCAGGUUUAGUCAAUUUUAAAUGGGGAUACAAGCUCUUGUAUUUCUUGGUAAAAAUCAUAUGUUGGUUCUUUACAAAUUGAUCGGCUCGAAUGUUGUUUGUUUGCUCCUUUUUUCAGAUAGUGGUACUCGUAGCACUUACCUGAACUAUUGUUACUUUCUGUCAGUUGUAUCAACACUAUUGUUAGAACCCUUUAUCUUCUGAAAUGCUUAUACUCGUGGCAUUUCCGUGGCAACUUUUUAACUUGCCACGGUGGGUAUGCGUCUACCCAUAAGUAUAUUCUACUUUGAGUUGGGAUUCGUUUGUUUGUGUAAGGACCCUCAAGCUCGUCAACGUUAUUAGACUAGUCAAGUGACGAGUUAGCCGAUAGUGACUCGAUUAGUUUAACACGAACGUUAAUUAAUAGGAAUUAAUCUAACAACGAUCUAGACACGAAACUAGUAGCACUGGGUAGAACUCGAAAAGUUACCCAGAAUGGACUACUCGCACGCGUCAUUCGGACACUGGGCGAAGAGGAUUUAUCGAUUUGUUUUCGGAGGAUAGAAUAGUAAUUUUGGGUAUUACCCUUGUGUCUGCACGUGUAGCAAUUUGGGCAGCCUUAUCUCUAAACGGAUCGAAGAGAAUAAUCAUUCUUUUAUUCUUCUUCUCUUUCUUCUUUCCUCUUCUCUCUUCUUUUUUUCUUUUUCUUUUUCUUUCUGUCGAUUUCAAGUUGACGAAGCGAAUUUGAUUUGAUGUGGGUGAUUUGUAGAAGCUCGUAGUUAUAUCAGUGGAGAAGGUGAUGCUGUUAAAGUUUGAGUUCCAGGAGAAGAAGAGAUUGAUGCAGCUGUAAACUGGAUAAUUAGAGAUUGAUUGAGGGUUUGUGUGAAAUUAAGGGUGGAUGUAACAAAUUGAACAUGAGUUUUGAGUAUGUUUUAUGAAGAAGAAGAUGAGUGUGUUGAUUUGAGGAUUUGAUUUGAGAAAUCAGGAAUUAAUGUUUCAUUGCUAUGAGAUUGAUUGAGUAAUUGAUGAUGGGUUGUAUGUUAAUUGAAUCAUUAAGAAGAAGGAGUUGGUGUUUCUGUUGAUUAUGAAAAGAGGAUUGAGAUGUUGUUAUUAACAGAAGAUAGGGUUCUGAAGUUAAGGUUUUCUGGAAUCAGUUUGAGAAUGAAAUUGAACGCUUUGAGGAUUAAUUGGUGAUGGUGAUUAUUGAGACUAUUAGAUAAACAGAAUCAAGGUAAAGAAUAAUUGGUUUCCAUGGAAUUUAAGGUAAUCCUUCCUUAAGAUGUUUAAUUCAGUUUUUCAGUUUUAUUGAAUUACUAUGCGUGUUUGAUAAUUGGAUUAAGAUUAAGAUGGACAUGGUUGGUAUAUAAUGGAGAUGAAAUUGUUUAACUGGUAAUUGAGACUAGUAGAGGCUCAGUUUGUUGUGCAGGCAUGAACCGAAAUGGGAGAGGUUUGGUUUCAUUGCUAUGGAAAAUAUUAUGAUAGUGUUGGUCCUGUAGAGUGUAUGGAGUAGAAGUUGUGUAGUUGAAACUAUAAGUUGUUAUGCAUGUGGUUGGGUUAAGAGUUGAGAUGCAGGGAUGUGUGUUUGUUGGAGUUUAGAUGUUGUUGGAUAUUGUCAGUGAUAUCAGAUUGAUAGGCAGUUCAUUGAGGGACAUGAAUUGAGUUUGGUAGUGGUGUUGUAAUGAUGCCACAUGGUUAAUGAUGAACAAGUUGUUUGGGAUGUUGUCUGGAAUUGGUUGAAGUGAUAAUGAUGUGUUGUUGGUGUUAUGUGAGUUGUUGAAGUUCGGAUGUGCAGGUUGUGGUUGUAAUGGAUCUGAGUUAGGUUAUGUUGAAGUAUAUAGAGUUUGGGUUACAAGUUGAGUUAUAAGUUAGACCUGCAGGUGGCUAUGGUUGGGUUUCAGUGAUGAUUAUAGAGUUGCAUUUAGUAUUUGUUGUAAAAGCUUGGAACUGCAUUUGCAGGUAGGCUUAAUUUACAAUUGUAUCUGAGAUUGAAUUAUAAAGUUGUUGUUUUUGAAUGAA